This 660-nucleotide transfer RNA is filed under the name Brasilonema burkei HA4348-LM4. Its description in RNAcentral is "16S-23S ribosomal RNA intergenic spacer". The stretch from base 313 to 385 matches the Rfam family "tRNA". Lineage: Bacteria; Bacillati; Cyanobacteriota; Cyanophyceae; Nostocales; Scytonemataceae. The record is from RNAcentral.
UUUAGGGAGACCCAAAUCAACUCAAAAGUCAAAAUUCAUUCGUUCCAAAUGAGCAAUCAGAUUUUGGAAUUUUGAAUUGAGAGUUUUGAAUUGAUUUUAUCCCGAGGUCGGUCGCAAUCUUAAGGAAAGCUUUCAAACUAUAAGGAAGGUUCGGAUAUGGGCUAUUAGCUCAGGUGGUUAGAGCGCACCCCUGAUAAGGGUGAGGUCCCUGGUUCGAGUCCAGGAUGGCCCACCUAAGAUAGUUCAAAAGUCAAAACUAUGAAUUCAAAAUUCUUUUUUUGAAUUUUGAGGAUUGAAUUUUGAAUUGCUUGAGGGGGUAUAGCUCAGUUGGUAGAGCGCCUGCUUUGCAAGCAGGAUGUCAGGAGUUCGAGUCUCCUUACCUCCACCUACUGUGAAGAGAUAAAAAAACUAGGUCUCUUACGUACUCAAGUACUAAAGCAGCAGGAAAGUGCGAGAGAGUCAGGAGAAAGUAGCCAAACUCACUGUGCUCACAGCAGAGAUAUGGUAACAAUAUUCAGCACCGAAGAAAAAACUUCGACUGCUGGGAGAGUUUCCAGCAAAAGAACCUUGAAAACUGCAUAGAAACGCGAAAAGUAGGUAGUUAAGUGUUAGUAGAAAAAAACUAAGACUUAGCAGACAACUAUGAAGCCAAAGUAGUGU